UUGGCUCUGGCCCAUUCUUGCUCUUCCCUGUUCUGCUUCUCAGAUUCGGUUUGCUCUCACCACUUUUACUGUGCUUUGCACCAUCCUGCCUGUACUUUUGGGUGAACCUGAGACAGAGAGAGAGAGAAAGAGGCUGAUCUGCCCAAAGUCCCUUAGCUAGUAAGUGGAUGAGCUGGAGCCCGAACCCAAAUCUUUUGCCUCUCAAUCCAGUGUCCUUUCUAUGACAUGUAGGCAUUUUAACGACUUCAGCUCACGGAAAAGGAGAAGAAGUGAACGGGCAAGUUGAUUCACUUCAGCCAACUGCUAUCCUUCCUGAAUACAGGCAGCAAAGGAACAAGGAUGACCAGAAGGGUGGAGAAUCCACCUAAGCAGCAUCUCAGAUCAGCUCCAUCUUCAGAGGAGAGCCAAGGGAGUCAUUAGGAAAGCGGAACCUUGGCUGUGGCUCACCGUGGCAGCCCCGACUGGAAGGAACAUCCCCAGCAGACUGAAAAGUGAUUCAGAAGAGUGGUGGUCUUGUCAACGUGAGUGGGCUUUAAGGCCCCCAGUCUCAGCUUUCAUAGCCAUAAAAGUAAAUUUGAGGCUGGAGUAGAGGAGGCUGGAGAGAGAAUGAGACAGCUAUACCAGCCCAUUUCAAAGGGACAGGGUCAUGAAAAAAGUAAAUUGAAUUGUGCCUUGUCAGAGCCAGA
This is a non-coding RNA of Phascolarctos cinereus (koala), 686 nucleotides long. Lineage: Eukaryota; Metazoa; Chordata; Mammalia; Diprotodontia; Phascolarctidae. The record is from RefSeq and is a predicted model, not a curated record.